CACUCCACCCCAUCGAUCACAGUCGUCGAUAAGUUUUGAUUGACGAGUACAUC
Caenorhabditis elegans is the source of this 53-nucleotide non-coding RNA. NCBI's taxonomy places the organism in Eukaryota, Metazoa, Nematoda, Chromadorea, Rhabditida, Rhabditidae. The record is from Ensembl.